UCCAGUAUGGUGUAACAGCUAACAUUACCGCCUUUCACGUUGCAUUUGCGCGGUAGCUCAGGGUUCGACCCCCUGUACCGGAG
Molecule: non-coding RNA, 83 nt
Organism: Hermanssonia centrifuga
Lineage: Eukaryota; Fungi; Basidiomycota; Agaricomycetes; Polyporales; Meruliaceae
Source: the annotation of a GenBank genome assembly